AUUGAACGCUGGCGGCAGGCCUAACACAUGCAAGUCGAGCGGAGCGGCGGACGGGUGAGUAAUGCCUAGGAAUCUGCCUGGUAGUGUGGGAUAACGUCCGGAAACGGGCGCUAAUACCGCAUACUAUCAGAUGAGCCUAGGUCUGAUUAGCUAGUUGGUAGGGUAAAGGCCUACCAAGGCGACGCUCCGGAACUGGUCUGAGAGGAUGAUCAGUCACACUGGAACUGGGACACGGUACAGACUACUACGGGAGGAACAAGUGGGGAAUAUUGGAAAAGUGGCGAAAGCCUGAUCCAGCCAUGCCGCGUGUGGGAAGAAGGUCAUCGGAUUGUAAAGCACUUUAAGUUGGGAGGCGUUACCAACAGAAUAAGCACCGACUAACUUCGUGCCAGCAGCCGCGGUAAUUA
Molecule: ribosomal RNA, 407 nt
Filed under: uncultured bacterium
Lineage: Bacteria
Description: partial 16S ribosomal RNA
Rfam family: Bacterial small subunit ribosomal RNA
Source: RNAcentral